GAUGAACGCUGGCGGCAUGCCUAAGACAUGCAAGUCGAACGAGAUGGCCCAGUGAAGGUUGCGUGCUUGCACAAGACUGAAUCUGGAUCACCAUCUAGUGGCAGACGGGUGAGUAACACGUGGGUGACCUACCUUUUCGUUGGGGAUAACAGUUGGAAACGAUUGCUAAUACCGAAUAAAAUAUAAGAGCCAAUUUUANAUUGAAAGGAGCCUUUAAAGCUUCGCGAUUAGAUGGGCCUGCGGCGUAUUAACUUGUUGGUGAGGUAACGGCUCACCAAGGUACGAUGCGUAGCCGAACUGAGAGUUGAUCGGCCACACUGGGACUGAGACACGGCCCAGACUCCUACGGGGAGACAGCAGUUAGG
RNAcentral lists this ribosomal RNA (365 nucleotides) under uncultured bacterium. RNAcentral's name for it is "bacterial SSU rRNA". It matches the Rfam family "Bacterial small subunit ribosomal RNA", at positions 28 to 359 of the family's 1533-position model. The record is from RNAcentral.